CGUCUUGAAGAUGAAGAGAUCAUCUCCUACAUGUUGUGGGGACUCGGUCCUGAGUUUGAUCCCUUGGUGACAAGUAUCACCACCAGCGCUAAGCCGGUCACCAUUAGUGAUGUUUAUGCACAUAUGCUCAGCUAUGAGC
Molecule: small nucleolar RNA, 139 nt
Organism: Phragmites australis (common reed)
Lineage: Eukaryota; Viridiplantae; Streptophyta; Magnoliopsida; Poales; Poaceae
Product: small nucleolar RNA Z247
Exons: 1
Source: RefSeq, a predicted model, not a curated record